This 598-nucleotide ribosomal RNA is filed under the name Legionella sp. legS035. RNAcentral's name for it is "bacterial SSU rRNA". It matches the Rfam family "Bacterial small subunit ribosomal RNA", at positions 239 to 826 of the family's 1533-position model. The record is from RNAcentral. Lineage: Bacteria; Pseudomonadati; Pseudomonadota; Gammaproteobacteria; Legionellales; Legionellaceae.
GAUUAGCUAGUUGGUGGGGUAAGGGCCUACCAAGGCGACGAUCGGUAGCUGGUCUGAGAGGAUGACCAGCCACACUGGGACUGAGACACGGUCCAGACUCCUACGGGAGGCAGCAGUGGGGAAUAUUGGACAAUGGGGGGAACCCUGAACCAGCAAUGCCGCGUGUGUGAAGAAGGCCUGAGGGUUGUAAAGCACUUUCAGUGGGGAGGAGAGUUGUUAUGUUAUUAGCUAGAGGUAAUCUGGACGUUACCCACAGAAGAAGCACCGGCUAACUCCGUGCCAGCAGCCGCGGUAAUACGGAGGGUGCAAGCGUUAAUCGGAAUUACUGGGCGUAAAGGGUUCGUAGGAGGUUAAUAAGUUAUGUGUGAAAUCCCCGGGCUCUAACCUGGGCAGGUCAGAUAUAACUGUCAGACUCGAGUAUAGGAGAGGGUAGUGGAAUUUCCGGUGAAACGGUGAAAUGCGAAGAGAUCGGGAUUAACACCAGUGGCGAAGGCGGCUACCUGGCCUAAUACUGACACUGAGGCACGAAAGCGUGGGGAGCAAACAGGAUUAUAUACCCUGGUAGUCCACGCUGUAAACGAUGUCAACUAGCUGUUGG